CCUACGGGAGGCAGCAGUGAGGAAUAUUGGUCAAUGGGCGGGAGCCUGAACCAGCCAAUCCGCGUGAGGGAAGAAGGUACAGCGUAUCGUAAACCUCUUUUGUCAGGGAACAAAGGCGGGGACUAGUCCCCGGCUGAGGGUACCUGACGAAAAAGCCUCGGCUAACUCCGUGCCAGCAGCCGCGGUAAUCCGGAGGAUGCGAGCGUUAUCCGGAUGUAUUGGGUUGAAAGGGUGCGCAGGCGGCCUGUUAAGUCAGCGGUAAAAGCCCGGGGCUCAACCCCGGCGAGCCGUUGACACUGGCGGGCUGGAGUGGGAGAGAAGUACGCGGAAUGCGCGGUGUAGCGGUGAAAUGCUUAGAUAUCGCGCAGAACCCCGAUUGCGAAGGCAGCGUACCGGCGCCACACUGACGCUGAGGCACGAAAGCGUGGGGAUCGAACAGGAUUAGAUACCCCUGUAGUC
This 459-nucleotide ribosomal RNA is filed under the name uncultured bacterium. RNAcentral describes it as "partial 16S ribosomal RNA". It matches the Rfam family "Bacterial small subunit ribosomal RNA", at positions 338 to 795 of the family's 1533-position model. The record is from RNAcentral.